This is a long non-coding RNA of Mangifera indica (mango), 1059 nucleotides long. RefSeq lists it as uncharacterized. The record is from RefSeq and is a predicted model, not a curated record. NCBI's taxonomy places the organism in Eukaryota, Viridiplantae, Streptophyta, Magnoliopsida, Sapindales, Anacardiaceae. The transcript is spliced from 8 exons.
ACUAUUUGUACAAUAUUUAGGUGUAAAAUACUUUUUUCUUUCUUCAAUGGCUUGAUACCACAACAAAAUAGUUUGUUUAGAUUCACAUCAGAAAAUUGUAACAGAAAAUGCAGGGGAGUACAGGGCAUGGUAUUGUAGCAGAAAAGGAAAAGCAGACAAGCUGAAGAGGUGGGCAAUUUGAGCAUGGCAAGGUUGCAUGCUAUGGAAACUUAGCAGAUGAGACACUUGUCAUAUGCUCGUUUAAUUAAGGUAAUGAAAUUCUUUAAUGCCCAUGGAGUACCAGUCAGUUAUGUUGAGAAUGCUAGUGAUCCAUAAAAAGACCAGACAGAGGAGUGCAGAACUUGAAAAGCUGUGGAUUCGGCAACAAUCACACUCUAACAAGCCAGUCCAGUAGGGCCUGUACAAUGAUUGAAGCCCGACAAUGAUGAAGUUUUCAUUGAGCUCUGCCAGAAAGGUGUUAAGACUCUUCUUGUAGCUCUGCCAAAAUGGAUAUCCACAAGGUUAAAUUGAUUAUAGUAUUUACAACUGCAGCUUUAUGAGUAAGCACAUAGUCUUGAAAAGAUUGACAUGGAGCACAGAGAAUUGCCUCUUAAAUGCACUUCAAAACUAGGGAAGUGUACCAGUUUUAUAUACACUUAAGAUUUAUGGAUGUCUGAUAGUGAAGACCUUUGAUUGUGGAUGUCCUCCUAUCUUAAUCAAUGUUAUGAUACAUCCAUUGAUUAAGAUAGGAGGACAAUGAAUGCAUAACCUGGACCCUACAGUAUAAAGAUUUGUUUAGGAGAAUUAGGAAGGUUCAACUAAAUGGCCAAGGAAGAUCUUCCUGUUAAAAUCAAAGGCGUUAGGCCUCCUGUCGAUACCAUCUGCUGCAACCUUAACACUUUGAGUUCGACAAAGAAGUGCGCUCAUGGCAAUGAAAAUGCAGGGGAGUACAGGGCAUGGAAUUGUAGCAGAAAAGGAAAACCAGACAAGCUGAAGAGGUGGGCAAUUUCAGUAUGGCAAGGUUGCAUGCUGCUGGAAACUGAGCAGAAGAGACACUUGUCAUACACUCGUUUAAUUAAG